UUUUUUUUUUUUUUUUUUUUUUUUUUGCCAUACUCAUGGCAUGUGGAAGUUCCUGGCCCAGGCAUCAAAUCCGAGCUAGAGCUGUGACCUAUGCUGCAGCUGUGACAACACCGGACCCUUAAACCACUGAGGCUUAAACCAAUGGGAACUUCUCAGAGGGUACUUUAUUUAUUUAUUUAUUUUCAGGCCAUUCUCAUGGCAUAUGGAGAUUCCCAGGCUAUGGGUUGAAUUGGAGCUAUAGCUGCUGGCCUUUGCCACAGCCACAGCAACGCCAGAUCUGAGCCGAGUCUUCGACCUAUACCACAGCUCAUGACAACCCCGGAUCCUUAACCCACUAAGCGAGGCCAGGGAUCAAACUCACAACCUCAUAGUUCCUAGUUGGAUUCGUCUCCUCUGUGCCAUGAUGGGAAUUCAUCAAAGAGUACUUUUAAUCUUUCCUCAGUUUAGGAAGAUUCUUAGUCAUCUCUUCAUAUUUACUUCUCUGCUACUUUUGUCUGUUCUUCCGUAACACCUCUCCGACAAAUAUUAGAGCUUCUUAAUUUCUAAUUCAUCUCUUUUAUUCAUUUAUCUUUCUUCUUUAUGUUCUGUGUUAUGAGUGAAUUCCCCAAUACCAUCUUCUAAUUCAUUGGUCUCUCUCCAUUCUACAAUUUCCCUCACCUCUCAAGGGUUCCAUUUCCAUAAUGCUACUGGUUUUAUUUCCAAGAUUUCAAACUUAAUUUUUAGAGCUAUACAAAUCUCAUUUUAUUUAUGCUUAUUUUUGUUCUGAGUUUUUAUAUUAUUUUUUUCUACAUAAAAAUAAAUAUUUAAAAUUGGUAUAUGACAAAUAAAUGGUAAAUUUUUCCCUCUAACCCUGAUAGUAUGGAUGCAACUUGUAUCAGAAUCAUCUUCUAGUCUAUCCAACCCUUUAGAACACAGCCUUGAAAUCCUCAGAAAUCUGCAUCACUGCAGUAAUAUGGCACCUUCUAUUCCAAGUCUUUGUACUGGAGUCAUGGUUCAAUUCACCUUACAAAUCUACAAUUUUCAUCAGGGUUAAAAAUUGGAAUUUAUCGAAUCAUUUGAUCAAAGAUUUUUAAAUUCAAUUCAAAAAACUACAAUAUUUCUUAGAAUAUAUGAUGCUUGCAUACUACAUAUUUUUGUUGGUGUCAAAUUUAUUUAAUAUAACUUAAUUCUCUAUUGAUGUCUGUCUUCAUAUAACAUCACUUUAUUUCUUCACCAUUAUGAUUUAAUAAUGGCAAACGACCAUCUUACUCCCUGCACACAAAUAUCUCUCACUUUUUUACAACCAGAUUGGAAACCACAUUCUAAGUACUGCAAUUAAGUGCCUCACGUGAAGUGUAACAGAGUUUGGAUCUAACCUUGAUAGUGUUCAGGUAACAAGGGCACAACUGAACAAUAAAACUAGUGUAGUAAAAGUGUUUUCUCAAAGUCGAGGGGCUAUGGCCUGAGAAACUCAUAUUAACCCAGGAGUUCCUGUGUAUUAUCUCACUACUCAGAUGAAAAGACAUUCAGGACAUUGUUCAUUCCCUCUUCAGCUUUGUUGCUAAGACUCCGUAACAGCCUUUCUCAUGAGAGUGAUGAGAAACCUAAUACAGUUUGGGGAAUCCAGUCAUUUUGCUUCAAAAGCUGUUCAAUUCUCCAGGGCCUUUGAAAGACACUGUAGGGAUUCUGAAGAGCCAAAUAGCUGGAACAGGAUAGUUCAGGGUUUGACCAAUGCUCAGGUUACUGAACACCUGAAAACCUCAAUUUCCUACCCUUUGCAAUAGUUAUUGAAGGCUACUUCUUUCUGGUAACUUCUUGCAAUCGUUCUUGUGACUUAAAGGUUAUAUAUUACAAAAGAAAAACAGAUGACAGAAGUUUACUUUUACGUUUUAGAGUCAUAAAGAGAGCCACAUAAAAGCCUAGAACACACACAAGCACAUCCGUGAUACUCAGCAAAAUGGAAGAUUCUGUAUAGAGUUAUCCUCUAUCUAAUACUCCAUAAUCCGCUGGCAGAUCAUUCAAUUUUACCUCUGGCUCAUUGAGUGUUUAUUCAAAACCACACCAGUGAAGUGAAAGCAUCUCUUAAAAAUUCACUUGAUCUGUAAAAUGAUAUUGUACUGUGAAGGAAUAGCUUUCCUCUUCCUUGGUGGAAAGAUGUCUAUUAUUAUUGUUAUUAUUAUUAUUACUUUUCAGGGCUGUGCUCACGGCAAAUGGAAGUUCCCAGGCUAGGGGCUGAAUUGGAGCUACAGCUGCGGGCCUACACCACAGCCACAGCGAUGCCAGAUCCAAGCCACGUCUAUGAGCUACACCACAGCUCAUGGUAAUGCUGGAUCCUUAUCCCACUGAGCAAGGCCAGGGAUCGAACCCACAUCUUCAUGGGUACCAGUCAUUUUCAUUUCCACUGAGCCACGAUGGGAACUCCCAAGAUGUCUGUUAUUGAUACUUUAGGUUUAAAACUAGGUUUCCCGAAGUACACGGUAUAUAUGCUACUGAUAGGAAACACCAUGAUUUUGAUAGUUACAAGUGAUUAUUUAAGUGGGAAUUAGAUACAGGAAAACUUGUGAAGGUGGUACACGAAUGACUAAGGUUAGAGAAACUCUGGUUUAGGUAUUUUUUAAAUAAUCAAAGAUGAUUCUCACGGAAGAAGAAGAGACCAAGUAGGAUUUUAGCUGGAAAUGUUAAAAACCUAGUUUGCAAAGAGGGCGAGGCAGAGGUGUAUUUAGUAUGCUGGGAGUGGGGUUAGUCAAAUAUGAGCAGUUUCUUAUACACAAAAUCCACACUUGAAGUCACUGGCUUAAAAUAAAAGUAGGUCCUACGCUCAUUUGGAGCAAAGAGAAAGAAGCCUACCUCAACUAAAAGUUGAACCAGCUUGAAUCUCAACUUUAAAUAAGAUUAAUAGGACAGAGAAAAAUGUGUCUGGACAGAGGGUACAGAGUUCCAGAGUGAGAGACACAGAGACCUCCAAAUAGAUCAUUGGAAAGCCUGACAGAUGAGUGCCAGGGCUGGAUGCCAGAAAGAAGUUUUCGGAAAAUCAUCAAAGAAAAUGCCAUUCUCUCCCAGGGAUCCUGGGUUAGGACUCGAGAGCAGUGUGUAGCAAGGGUGGGGCUAGAGGCAGCAGUCCCCACCCCCAUACUAUCAUUGUGUAGAAGCGUUGGUAUAUGACAAUAAUAUAAAGCAGACCAAUUUUUUGGUGCAACCACUGUGGAAAGCAGUAUGGAGAUUCCUCAGAAAACUAAACAUAGAACUACCAUUUAAUCUAGUAAUCCCACUCCUGGGCAUCUACCCAGAGAAAACCACGACUCGAAAAGACACAUGUACUCCGAUGUUCAUUGCAGCACUAUUUACAAUAGCCAAGACAUGGAAACAACCUAAAUGUCCAUCGACAGAGGAGUGGACCCAGAAGAUGUGGUACAUAUACACAAUGGAAUAUUACUCAGCCAUGAAAAAGAACGAAAUACCAGCAUUUUUAGCAACAUGGAUGGACCUAGAAAUUGUCAUGUGAAGUGAAGUCAGCCAUACAAUGAGACACCAACAUCAAAUGCUUUCACUGACAUGUGGAGUCUGAAAAAAGGACAGACGGAACUUCUUUGCAGAGCAGAUACUGACUCACAGACAUUGAAAAACUUAUGGUCUUUGGAGGAGACAGUUUGGGGGUUGGGGGGAUGUGCUUGGGCUGUGGGAUGGAAAUCCUGUGAAAUCAGAUUGUUAUGAUCAUUAUACAACUACAGAUAUGUGAUAAAUUCAUUUGAGUAAUAAAAAAAUAACAAAAAAUAAAUAAAGUUUCCUAGAGGAAAAAAAUGGGCAAUAUAAAGAAAAAAUUGUGGGUGGAAAUAAGGAGGGAAGUGUUAAUAAGCACUUUUAGAUUUUAAAAUAUAACAUAAAAUCAAAAUACUAUUUAUUAUGACCAAUCAUAUACAAUGAAGUAAAAAAGAUGUUGAAAAUAUAAUUAAAUAUAAAAGCAUAUAUCCUUAGAAAUCACUAAGACUAUUCAAUAAGCUGGUUAUAAUAAAGAAAACUGGGAGUUCCUGUCGUGGCGCAGUGGUUAACGAAUCCGACUAGGAACCAUGACGUUGCGGGUUCGGUCCCUGCCCUUGCUCAGUGGGUUAACGAUCCGGCGUUGCCGUGAGCUGUGGUGUAGGUUGCAGACGCGGNNNNNNNNNNNNNNNNNNNNNNNNNNNNNNNNNNNNNNNNNNNNNNNNNNNNNNNNNNNNNNNNNNNNNNNNNNNNNNNNNNNNNNNNNNNNNNNNNNNNNNNNNNNNNNNNNNNNAAAAAAAAAAAAAAAAAAAAAAAAAAAAAAAAAAGAAAACUGGUGCCAGAUAACUAGUUAUAAUAUAGAAAAAUAUAUUUUUCAUGUCACUUUUUUUUAGCCUCAAAAAAAUAAAUAAAUAAAGCAGACCAAUUUUUGGUUGCUUUUAUUAUUAUUUUAAAAUUGUAUACAGAGGCAGUCUCCCUGGAUGGAGGGCUGUCUCCACCCUGUUUGCUCACAGGUUUGCAGAGUGUUUAGCAUGACCAUGGAACAGCAGGAUAAGACAUCUCUAGAGCUGGAGACAUUUGGCCUCAUGUCUGGAAGGUCAAUUAAAAAGCAAAGGUCUCUCUGGAAGGCAUCUACGUGAAGGUGUAAUCUGAGUUACUUGUGUUCCCAUUCAAUCCAGGUGAACUAGAAGGCCUUGUUUCCAGCGAGAUGACUCAAGGCAUUGCCAGAUAAUAGCCAAUGAGGAGGAAGAGGAGAGGUGAACCAGAGAGAUGGAAGUAGGCACAAUGAAAGAUGUAAACGGCCAAAUUUAAGAAGAUAUAGAAGGAAAUACUAUCGGUAACCCCGGAUUUAGAUUAGAUGUGCUUCUUUCUACUCCUGAUUUUGGAACCCAAAGCAGAGGGUAUAGCAUCUUACUUUCUGGGCUAAGAACGAGGAGUCCCAUGAUGGUUGGCCCUACUUCAGCUCCUUCCCUGCCCCCAGUUCUACAUGAGUCCGAAUGUUAGGGCCUUUCUUUAAAAUUAAGAAAUACCACAUUUUAUUUUCUGCAUUAGUCUGGAUGAGUUUAUCAGAAACUAUACUGAAAGGAUGUUGUGCAGAGAACCCAAAGUGAAUUUAAAUUCAGAAGACCUGGCAGACCACGUGCGAGAACUUUGUCCAGUGCUGGGAAGUUGCUUCCCAGAGAACAGGCAUGCCUUUCCACAAAAAUACCUUCCAGGGCCAUGGUAGUAUCCGUGCUAACUGCACCCUGGUUUUGGACUAGGAAGGCAAAGCGACAGAAGUUUAAUGACUUAAAAUAGAGUUCUGGGGAGUUCCUGUUGUGGCGCAGUGGAAAUGAAUCCGACCAGGAACCAUGAGGUUGCAGGUUCGAUCCCUGACCUUGCUCAAUGGGUUAAGGGUCUGGCAUUGCCAUGAGCUGUGGUGUAGGUCGCCGACACGGCUCAGAUC
This 5398-nucleotide long non-coding RNA is filed under the name Sus scrofa (pig). RNAcentral's name for it is "lncRNA (ENSSSCG00055010156.1)". Lineage: Eukaryota; Metazoa; Chordata; Mammalia; Artiodactyla; Suidae. The record is from RNAcentral.